GGCAGGGUUGGAGGAGGUCAGAUAACCACAGAAGCAGAAGUUGGGAUGAUGCAGCAUGAAGCAAGAAAUUCCAGAAGCCUGCAGGAGCUGGAAGAAAUGACUCGAUUUCCCCGGAGUGUCCAGAAGGGGGCAGCUCUGCUACCAUCCUGAUUGCAGCCACAGAUGUCCGGCCUCCAGACCUGGAAGAGAAUAACUUGGUGCUGUUUGCAGUCAAUUUGUUAUAGUAGCAGCAGGAAGCUCGGGUUCUGAACAUUCAGCUCCUCACUGGCUGAGGACCUCGGGCAAGGCCCUGGCAUCCCUGGAUCCCAGCUCCUCACUUUGUUAAAUGAGGGUAGAAAUGGCUGCUAUGGUGUUCGUAUGUGGAUGGAAGGAGGUAGCGCCGCCCGGCAUCACCUCGUCUGUCCAGGGUGUCCAGGAAGUCCCAGGCUUAGAAUGUUGGUGGGGAUGGCAGCAGCCAUCCUCCAGUAGUAGCAGGAGAAGCCGCAGACUUGGCAGGGAGAAAAAUCACUCCAUGAGAAUCAUCAGCUCCAGAUAUAUUGGAAUCUAUCUUUUGAAAUCAUUUAUCAGAAGCUUAUCCUGGCGUCA
Peromyscus leucopus (white-footed mouse) is the source of this 585-nucleotide long non-coding RNA. RefSeq lists it as uncharacterized. The transcript is spliced from 3 exons. Lineage: Eukaryota; Metazoa; Chordata; Mammalia; Rodentia; Cricetidae. The record is from RefSeq and is a predicted model, not a curated record.